CGACCCCAGGUCAGGCGGGACUACCCGCUGAGUUUAAGCAUAUAAAUAAGCGGAGGAGAAGAAACCUACGAGGAUUCCCCUA
RNAcentral lists this ribosomal RNA (82 nucleotides) under Zeugites sagittatus. RNAcentral's name for it is "partial 25S ribosomal RNA". It matches the Rfam family "Eukaryotic large subunit ribosomal RNA", at positions 1 to 82 of the family's 3401-position model. The record is from RNAcentral. Lineage: Eukaryota; Viridiplantae; Streptophyta; Magnoliopsida; Poales; Poaceae.